UUUCUCUGUUAGAGCCAACGAUUUCGUUCAAUUGCGGAACGAAAAUCAACGAAAGUGGUUGCGCAAUGACUUCGGUGUCAGCUCUCAGAGGCGUUCGAUUGCCUUUGUUCAAUCCUCAAUCGCCUCAUCAUCGCCUUCAAUUUCCCGCCAUAGCCACGAGGAAUUCCAACCAUGGCUUUAGGUCAAACGGCUUUCGUCUCCUUGCUCGUUACUCUCCAGCUCAG
RNAcentral lists this unclassified non-coding RNA (224 nucleotides) under Hevea brasiliensis (rubber tree). The record is from RNAcentral. Lineage: Eukaryota; Viridiplantae; Streptophyta; Magnoliopsida; Malpighiales; Euphorbiaceae.